GCGGCUGUGGCGGAAUUGGUAGACGCGCAAGAUUAAGGAUCUUGUGGAGGUUACUCUGUGCCGGUUCAAGUCCGGCCAGCCGCA
RNAcentral lists this transfer RNA (84 nucleotides) under Chitinivibrio alkaliphilus ACht1. It matches the Rfam family "tRNA". Rfam says of the family: Transfer RNA (tRNA) molecules are approximately 80 nucleotides in length. Their secondary structure includes four short double-helical elements and three loops (D, anti-codon, and T loops). The record is from Rfam by way of RNAcentral. Lineage: Bacteria; Pseudomonadati; Fibrobacterota; Chitinivibrionia; Chitinivibrionales; Chitinivibrionaceae.